AUCAAACCUUCACUGCAAACUUGUGUUGUAGAAAAAGUGGCCGGAUUAAAUAUGAAGACUUUCAUUUUGCUGAUGUGUCUCAUUGGAGUGAGCCUGGCUCUUCCAAUUGACGUUUCUGAGGAAGAGUAUGCACCUUCUUCGCUUACAGCACAUCACCGAGUUGCACGUUCCAGUUCAGAUUCCUAUUCCAGAGAGGCACCACGAAUGCCAAUGCCGAAUAUGAUGCAACUUAUGAGCCUCCUCCAGAGACUACUCCCCCUCAUCCGCCCUGCUCCUGUUCCAGCAACUCCUGCAGCUCGUGCUACAACUGCUCCUAAAGUUCCUGCUACUACCAAAAAAUAACCUGGACAGGAGACCUGCACCAAUCAGGAACUCCAGGAAUCAGUCUGCAGUCUAGACAUAACAUAAAUAGUCUGAAAUCAACUUAGUCUGAUGAUAUCCACCAUGGGAAAUCUCCAUUUCUUUUUCUAUAUGUUAAAAUCUGAAAUAAUUAUCAGAAUUAUAGCUUAAUUCAGUUCUAAUUCUUUCUUUUUGUCCCUGUUAGUUGAAAACUGGUUACAGUAGAAUAAACUUCAUCUUUCAAUGCACUCUGCCUCAUUACCUGUGUCUCUGUGUACACCUGUGCCUCAAAUCAAAUCAUCUCACUGGGGCUUGGGGAGAAUUAAACAUGUUACUGUAAAUGAUUAGUACAUUCUUUUACAGCAACCUGAGCUGUCUGUAGUGAUUAAUUCCCUAUUCACAAUCA
This is a long non-coding RNA of Anguilla rostrata (American eel), 745 nucleotides long. RefSeq lists it as uncharacterized. The record is from RefSeq and is a predicted model, not a curated record. Lineage: Eukaryota; Metazoa; Chordata; Actinopteri; Anguilliformes; Anguillidae. The transcript has 6 exons.